GACGAACGCUGGCGGCGUGCUUAACACAUGCAAGUCGAACGGAAAGGCCCUGCUUUUGUGGGGUGCUCGAGUGGCGAACGGGUGAGUAACACGUGAGUAACCUGCCCUUGACUUUGGGAUAACUUCAGGAAACUGGGGCUAAUACCGGAUAGGAGCUCCUGCUGCAUGGUGGGGGUUGGAAAGUUUCGGCGGUUGGGGAUGGACUCGCGGCUUAUCAGCUUGUUGGUGGGGUAGUGGCUUACCAAGGCUUUGACGGGUAGCCGGCCUGAGAGGGUGACCGGCCACAUUGGGACUGAGAUACGGCCCAGACUCCUACGGGAGGCAGCAGUGGGAAUAUUGCACAAUGGGCGGAAGCCUGAUGCAGCAACGCCGCGUGCGGGAUGACGGCCUUCGGGUUAUAAACCGCUUUCGCCUGUGACGAAGCGUGAGUGACGGUAAUGGGUAAAGAAGCACCGGCUAACUACGUG
Molecule: ribosomal RNA, 467 nt
Filed under: uncultured bacterium
Lineage: Bacteria
Description: partial 16S ribosomal RNA
Rfam family: Bacterial small subunit ribosomal RNA
Source: RNAcentral